This 454-nucleotide ribosomal RNA is filed under the name uncultured organism. RNAcentral describes it as "partial 16S ribosomal RNA". It matches the Rfam family "Bacterial small subunit ribosomal RNA", at positions 335 to 797 of the family's 1533-position model. The record is from RNAcentral.
ACUCCUACGGGAGGCAGCAGUGGGGAAUAUUGCACAAUGGGCGCAAGCCUGAUGCAGCGACGCCGCGUGGGGGAUGAAGGCCUUCGGGUUGUAAACUCCUUUCGCUAGGGACGAAGCUUUUUUGUGACGGUACCUAGAUAAGAAGCACCUGCUAACUACGUGCCAGCAGCCGCGGUAAUACGUAGGGUGCGAGCGUUGUCCGGAAUUACUGGGCGUAAAGGGCUCGUAGGUGGUUUGUCGCGUCGUCUGUGAAAUUCUGGGGCUUAACUCCGGGCGUGCAGGCGAUACGGGCAUAACUUGAGUGCUGUAGGGGUAACUGGAAUUCCUGGUGUAGCGGUGAAAUGCGCAGAUAUCAGGAGGAACACCGAUGGCGAAGGCAGGUUACUGGGCAGUUACUGACGCUGAGGAGCGAAAGCAUGGGUAGCGAACAGGAUUAGAAACCCGAGUAGUCCCA